GCUCUCCCCACUUCAACCUCUUUCCAGCCGCCUGGGUCAGGGGCAUUCCCAUCUGCGGCCUCCCCGGCCUUCCCUGCUCCUAGAGAUCGGGCAGGGGAUUUUGUCCCACGGUGACUUUCAAGGGAAGAAAAAAACAGAUUUGGAAUGAAGUCUCCAGGACUCGCUGCAGUUCUGAGGGAUUAUUUCCCUCCUCCUUAAUUACUUCUAAGCCAUAUGCCUUCCGCCCCUCCCGGGCCCGUUUGAUGGUAACAGGAGGUGAAUGGCCACAAAGGCAAUGGACCUCGACUCUCACACCACGAGCGGACGUCCAUAUGCUGCUGCAUCCUUCUGACCUGUUGCCCAAACUCCACAGAUUCGGCACCAUCUCCAGGGGGACACAGUGGACACAGAGCCCAAGGAGGCUCCUGGCCAGUCUACUCUGAGGUGUUAUGAUAGGAGUGCUAUUUCAUCUUGGAGUUAGGCAAUUUCAAGAAGCAUUUAUAAAGCCUCACAAAAAGAAAACGAUCUACUUCAGGACUGGAUUCCAUUCUGAUGAGCUCUUCGGAGAGAUAUGGAAGGGAAAAGUAGGACGUUGUGAAAUCAAACCAACAAUUACAAUGUCUUAUAACUCCAACUUGGUUGACAAUUAUUGGUUCAAGUCACACUUUCCACAGGGUCAGUGUCUCAGAAUAGUGUUCUUCAAAGAUUACAUAGCCACUUGUUAAAUAUGCAUAAACCAGAUUUAUUUCCAUCUACCCCAGUAUGUGUGCCCUCCACCCCAAUCAGCUGGCCCUACUCCCUGCUCCUGUCUAUGUCUCUUUCCAUGGCUUUGUUACUUCUGUGUUUUUGUUUUUGCCAGAGAUGCCCUGCCCCUUCUCUAGUCCAGGGACAUCCUGAGAAGCAUUUAAAUCCACCUUGAGGUCCCCUUUCUCACUGUCAGUAUCCUCUCUUUGUUCAUGUGCAAGUUUUGUCUCCCCAAUUACUCAUCAUUGAAGGUGGGCCAGCAGCAACACUUUUUUCCCAGUUUUGUAGCCCCCAGCAGAGGGUAGUGCAGAGGGCAGAGCUCCCGAUCAGUGGAUUUCAAACCUAGUCAGUUUCCAGAAUCACCUGAGCUGCUCUUAAAAAUAUCUACCAAGUCAAAAUCUGGGGAGGGGAGGUCCAAGAAUCAGCUUUUCACAUUUUUUUAAUGUUUAAAUUUUUUUUUUAUGUCGCAGGUGGUUAACUCUGAUGAUAGGUCAAAUUUGAGAAUGACCAAUGAUGUGAAAGGACUCUGUGUCAAGUUUUUGGCAGUUCAGUGAUAGAGCUUCUGAGCCCUUGACUUGGUCUAACAAAACCAAAAAGCUUUCUUCCUAAGAGGUUCUCCGUGAGUCCUGACCACUGGAGUCCAUGAAAACAUUUGGCUGCUAUGAUGCUACACGCAUCGAGAGAUUGGCUUUCUCUUCCCCAGAGAUAUUUAUGUCUUUCCUUACUUUGCAUCACGUCCACCUCCAAACUAAACACCACUGGUCUUACUAGCCAGUUGAUUUUGCAACCAGACGAAUGGGUUUUACUUGGCAACUAUCAUUUUCCAUCUCUCCUGCUAUAAAAGAUGGCUUUUCCUUGGCCAACAUACAGGACAAGUUCUCUUCAGCUUUAGUGCUUAGUAAUGGUUUUGUUCAUGAUGUGCUUGUCCAUUCUCAGAAGGGACGAUCCCAACCACUGUCAUUACCACUUUCACCAUGCUCUUUUAGACAGUGCCCACUUAAAUGUGGUGCUGGGCCAUUCAUCUGUUCAAGUACAGCUCAGGCUGCAGAAUAACCUUUAGACACAUGCAGCCAGCUUUGCUCAGAGGUUUGCCUGCAAUCUUUCUAAUCUGUGGUUUGGACUCUCCUAUAAGCUUCUAACCUUGGGCCUAGGAUAUGCUUUAAUAUGUUGACAUGAAAAUUUUUCUGAAUCUGAAGCCAUCAAAUUUCACUUCUCAUGUGCUAUCCAUUUCUUGUCUUAUAGCUUACCGUAAGGACAUAAUAUCAAUAUUAAUAAAACCGUUUAUUGAGAACCUAAUAUGUGUGAGACAGUGUACUAGGUAGGUUCUGGGACUGCAAAGAUUCAUAAGAUAAGGUCCUUGCUGGAGAGAGGACCACACUCUGAUGAGAAAUACAGGAUUCCAUUCAUAAAAAAGCAAUUUACAAAGCCACACAGCAGAUAUCAAGCCUAAGAUGAAUGGCUCAGGCACUA
Lutra lutra (Eurasian river otter) is the source of this 2193-nucleotide long non-coding RNA. RefSeq lists it as uncharacterized. The record is from RefSeq and is a predicted model, not a curated record. The transcript has 4 exons. NCBI's taxonomy places the organism in Eukaryota, Metazoa, Chordata, Mammalia, Carnivora, Mustelidae.